This 88-nucleotide transfer RNA is filed under the name Actinomycetota bacterium. RNAcentral's name for it is "tRNA-Arg". Lineage: Bacteria; Bacillati; Actinomycetota. The record is from RNAcentral.
GGACAGGUCAGCGACGCGUUUGCCGGAUUCGAGCGGGUGCGGUCGCCGAAACCGAAGGUCGCAGGUUCGAGCCCUGUCGCCCUGUCCG